GGCCAGCCUAAGGUGCCAUAGGUAUUUUUGGCUAAUGCUAUCUCUAAAUCUCUUAGACUCUAUGGCAUUCAUAGUUUGCUCAUUAAUAUUAAUACUCGCAUCCAUAUGCAAAUGAUAAAGACCAUCAAUCAAGAAAGCACGCGCAACAAUUUUAUUUUCAAAAUAAAUUACACACAUAUCUUUAUUGAAAUAAAAAUGAUA
RNAcentral lists this long non-coding RNA (201 nucleotides) under Elaeis guineensis (African oil palm). Its description in RNAcentral is "long non-coding RNA (EGUI_LNC014609)". The record is from RNAcentral. Lineage: Eukaryota; Viridiplantae; Streptophyta; Magnoliopsida; Arecales; Arecaceae.